CGUGCUUAACACAUGCAAGGUCGAACGAGACGAUUGAAAGCUUGGCUUUUGAAAGUCGAGUGGCAAACGGGUGAGUAACGCGUAGGCAACCUGCCUUGAGAUGGGGACAACAGUCCGAAAGGACUGCUAAUACCGAAUGUUGUGGAACUUCCGCAUGGAGGCUCCACCAAAGAUGACCUCUUCCUGAAAGUUAUCGCUCAAAGAUGGGCCUGCGUCUGAUUAGCUAGUUGGUGGGGCAACGGCCUACCAAGGCGAUGAUCAGUAGCCGGUCUGAGAGGAUGAACGGCCACAUUGGGACUGAGACACGGCCCAGACUCCUACGGGAGGCAGCAGUGGGGAAUCUUCCGCAAUGGGCGAAAGCCUGACGGAGCAAUGCCGCGUGAGUGAUGAAGGAAUUCGUUCCGUAAAGCUCUUUUGUUUAUGACGAAUGUGCAGAUUGUAAAUAAUGAUCUGUAAUGACGGUAGUAAACGAAUAAGCCACGGCUAACUACGUG
This 494-nucleotide ribosomal RNA is filed under the name uncultured bacterium. RNAcentral describes it as "bacterial SSU rRNA". It matches the Rfam family "Bacterial small subunit ribosomal RNA", at positions 43 to 507 of the family's 1533-position model. The record is from RNAcentral.